AUUGAACGCUAGCGGGAUGCUUUACACAUGCAAGUCGAACGAGCGGCGGACGGGUGAGUAAUGUAUGGGGACUGCCCGAUAGAGGGGGAUAACUACUGGAAACGGUAGCUAAUACCGCAUACUAUCGGAUAACCCAUAUGGGGUUAGCUAGUGGGUGAGGUAAUGGAUCACCUAGGCAACGAUCCCUUGCUGGUCGGAGAGGAUAGUCAGCCACACUGGGACGGAGACACGGCCCAGACGCAUACGGAGGCAGCAGUGUGGAAUAUUGCACAAUGGGCGCAAGCCUGAUGCAGCCAUGCCGCGUGUAUGAAGAAGGCCCUAGGGUUGUAAAGGACUUUCAGUCGGGAGGCGGUACCGACAGAAGAAGCACCGGCUAACUCCGUGCCAGCAGCCGCGGUAAUUC
This 403-nucleotide ribosomal RNA is filed under the name uncultured bacterium. Its description in RNAcentral is "partial 16S ribosomal RNA". It matches the Rfam family "Bacterial small subunit ribosomal RNA", at positions 30 to 526 of the family's 1533-position model. The record is from RNAcentral.